This 385-nucleotide ribosomal RNA is filed under the name Oeneis polixenes (polixenes arctic butterfly). Its description in RNAcentral is "partial 16S ribosomal RNA". Lineage: Eukaryota; Metazoa; Arthropoda; Insecta; Lepidoptera; Nymphalidae. The record is from RNAcentral.
GUCUUUUUGAAUAUAAUUUAAAGCUAAUCUGCCCACUGAUAGUAAUUAAAGGGCUGCAGUAUAAUGACUGUACAAAGGUAGCAUAAUCAAUAGUUUUUUAAUUGAAAACUUGUAUGAAAGAUUUGAUGAAAUAUAAACUGUCUCUUAUUUAUUUUUAGAACUUUAUUUUUUAGUUAAAAAGCUAAAUUAAUUUUAAAAGACGAGAAGACCCUAUAGAGUUUUAUAUUUAUUUUUAUUUUAAAACUAUAUAAAAAUUUUUAUUAAAAUAAAAUUAAUUAUUAUAUUGGGGUGAUAGAAAAAUUAAAUUAACUUUUUUUAAAAAUUAAACAUAAAUAAAUGAUUAAAUGAUCCAUUAAUAAUGAUUGUAAGAAAAAAUUACCUUAGG